RNAcentral lists this ribosomal RNA (200 nucleotides) under uncultured bacterium. RNAcentral's name for it is "partial 16S ribosomal RNA". It matches the Rfam family "Bacterial small subunit ribosomal RNA", at positions 8 to 214 of the family's 1533-position model. The record is from RNAcentral.
AGAGUUUGAUCCUGGCUCAGAUUGAACGCUGGCGGCAUGCCUUACACAUGCAAGUCGAACGGGCUUUGAGGCUUGCUCCAAAGUUAGUGGCGAACGGGUGAGUAAUAUAUCGGAACGUACCCUUGAGUGGGGGAUAACAUAGCGAAAGUUAUGCUAAUACCGCAUACGAUCUAAGGAUGAAAGUGGGGGACCGCAAGGCC